This 61-nucleotide microRNA precursor is filed under the name Mus caroli (Ryukyu mouse). Its description in RNAcentral is "microRNA 7017 (MGP_CAROLIEiJ_G0007903.1)". The record is from RNAcentral. Lineage: Eukaryota; Metazoa; Chordata; Mammalia; Rodentia; Muridae.
GUCCCAGAGGGUUGUGGGACUAGGGCUGUGCUUCCUGCCUAACCUGCUCCUCUCCCUCCAG